AGAUGCACUUUCUCAGGAUCUCUUCAGACUGUGUUCCUCGGGACAUAGUCAUUCAUAUUGACUCAAACCUCUUUAAAAUAUUUUGGAGUCUGGUUUUUUCAUCAACAAAGUGAAGAUGUGAAGCAACUAGAACUCUUGUACAUUGUAGAUAAGAGUGGUACAACCUCUUUGAACUAUGCAAAAUGGUACAACCUCUUAGGAGAAAAGUUUUUUUUUUCAAUUUUUUUAAUCAAGCUAAUUACACAUCUACCCUAUGACUUCAGCAAUUUUAUAUCUGGAUAUUUUGUGUACAACGACAAAAAGACUUGCAUUUGUUCAUUUGUUCAUAGCAGUCUUAUUUAUAAUAACUAAAACCUGGAAACAACUCAAAUGUCUAUCAAUAUAAAAUUGAUAAAUUAUGUCAUAUUCUAUAAAGAAAUACAGAUUAGUAAGCAAAAAAAAAAUAAAUUACUGAUAUACACAAUAACAUAAAUGAAUCUCCAGACUCCAAAUUAAACAAAGUAAAUGCUGUAUGAUUUCAUAUAUAUAAAGGAGUUCUAAAACAGAAUAAAUUAUUUUGUAAUAAUAGAAAGAGAGUAGCGGUUGUUCAAAGAUGGGAGUUACGGUGGGAAUUUGACUUCAAAGGGGUAGGAGGGCACUUUCCAGGAUGAUAUUAUGAUUCAUUUCUUGAGAGGAGCUAAAACUACUCAGGCGUAUACAUUUGUCAA
This 707-nucleotide long non-coding RNA is filed under the name Homo sapiens (human). Its description in RNAcentral is "non-protein coding lnc-CT83-3:1". Lineage: Eukaryota; Metazoa; Chordata; Mammalia; Primates; Hominidae. The record is from RNAcentral.